CACAGUUUGCCCACCGGACGGCCCUGCUAGGUGGGAAGCUCCUUGCAGGCAGGAACCCCAUCUCCUUGACUUUACUUUGGAAUCCCCGCAGCCUCAUACGGGGCUGAGGCAGGUCCUUCCGUAAAAUGGAACUGAAUGAGCGGCGCUUAAUCCAUCCGCCAAAGGCCAGUCUCCCUUGGGUUUUCAACAGUUCAUUAGGGGGAACCAUCCUGUAAAAGGAAAGGAAAGGAAAGGAAAAUCCUUCCUUCUUCAAAUGAAUUCUCAAAAAUUACUUCUGAGAUGCAAAUGCUGCCUGAGUGUUUGAGCUCCGUGAGAGAGUCCACUUCCCAACUUGUUUUCAGUCUGCUGUUGGGUGCUACUGAAUUUCUUAAACAUUGUGUUUCUCCCUUAUCUGUGAAUUAGCCAUGUGUUCUUUGGAAUCUCUUCCUGGGUCUUCGUUAUUCUUCCUCAGUUAUUUAAGAACCUAGGGAAGGCCCGGCGUGGUGGCUCACGCCUGUAAUCCCAGUACUUUGGGAGGCCGAAGCGGGCGGAUCACCUGAGGCCGGGAGUUUGAGACCGGCCUGACCGACAUGGAGAAUCUAAAAAUGCAAAAUUAGCCGGGCGUGGUGGCGGGCGCCUGUAAUCCCAGCUACUCGGGAGACUGAGGCAAGAGAAUCGCUUAAACCUGGGAGGCGGAGGUUGCAGUGAGCCGAGAUUGCGCCAUUGCAUUCCAGCCUGGGCAACAAGAGCGAGACUCCGUUAAAAAAAAAAAAAAAAGAAAAGAAAAAGAAAAAACCCUAGGGAAAGGGUCACGAAGACUGCAUCAUCAAAUGACACCAUGAACUCCUCAAGGGUCUACCCAUUGUUUUAACUUACUGCCCAAAAGGUACUUCUCAUUCGAAUAGCCCCCAUUCUACAGUCAUCUCUAUCAAUCAUCAUGUCACUUGAUCAUGACAUCGUUCUAAGCACCUGUAACAUCCCAGACCCUGUCUGAAGCACCAGGAAUGCUGGGUGAGCGGGACAGAAGGGACCACAGAUCCUCACGUUGCCUUAUCAAGUUUAGACUCUAGUGGUCCCGAUGGCUGAUCUCAUGACAUUCAAAUAGGAGGCGAUCAUUUCCUUAAAUACAAACACGAGAUUGUCAAUAGUUAGGAUGUGCUUAUUUUUCCUCCAGGGCAUAAGAUUUUUUUUCUUGUAUGUAUUUCAUAUCCCUAGCUGGAGAAAUAUCAAAAGAAUCUGAAUAUCACCAUCUGGAAGUUGUGCCAUGGACUCCAGUGGGCAGGAUUCGAGCUGGGAUUCUCUUCUUCCUCUAGCAGUGUAUUUCUUCUGCUUAAAAUGAGCACAAACACAUCUAAUUCCCUAAUGGACCAACUCAGACCUAAAAGUCUCUUAUUCUUUGCCCGCCUUCCUCUACCCACAUGGAUUCCUGGGAUUCUCUAAAUGCAGAUGGCAAUGGGGAGGGCUGGGGAUUCCCAUCAAGGAUAUUUGAUCAUCGGUGACUUCACUUAACCAAUAAAUCAAACGUGUUGAAAUACACACAUGUCAG
RNAcentral lists this long non-coding RNA (1525 nucleotides) under Homo sapiens (human). RNAcentral's name for it is "HSALNT0379345". Lineage: Eukaryota; Metazoa; Chordata; Mammalia; Primates; Hominidae. The record is from RNAcentral.